GACGAACGCUGGCGGCGUGCCUAAUACAUGCAAGUUGGGCGCUGAAGGUUGGUACUUGUACCAACUGGAUGAGCAGCGAACGGGUGAGUAACGCGUGGGGAAUCUGCCUUUGAGCGGGGGACAACAUUUGGAAACGAAUGCUAAUACCGCAUAAAAACUUUAAACACAAGUUUUAAGUUUGAAAGAUGCAAUUGCAUCACUCAAAGAUGAUCCCGCGUUGUAUUAGCUAGUUGGUGAGGUAAAGGCUCACCAAGGCGAUGAUACAUAGCCGACCUGAGAGGGUGAUCGGCCACAUUGGGACUGAGACACGGCCCAAACUCCUACGGGAGGCAGCAGUAGGGAAUCUUCGGCAAUGGACGAAAGUCUGACCGAGCAACGCCGCGUGAGUGAAGAAGGUUUUCGGAUCGUAAAACUCUGUUGGUAGGGAAGAACGUUGGUGAGAGUGGAAAGCUCAUCAAGUGACGGUAACUACCCAGAAAGGGACGGCUAACUACGU
RNAcentral lists this ribosomal RNA (496 nucleotides) under uncultured bacterium. RNAcentral describes it as "partial 16S ribosomal RNA". It matches the Rfam family "Bacterial small subunit ribosomal RNA", at positions 28 to 506 of the family's 1533-position model. The record is from RNAcentral.